Molecule: small nuclear RNA, 104 nt
Organism: Otolemur garnettii (small-eared galago)
Lineage: Eukaryota; Metazoa; Chordata; Mammalia; Primates; Galagidae
Source: Ensembl
GUGCUCACUUCAGCAGCACAUGUACUAAAAUUGGAACAAUACAGAGAUUAGCAUGGUCCCUGCGUAAGGAUGACACGCAAAUUUGUGAAGGACUCCAUAUUUUC